Molecule: ribosomal RNA, 495 nt
Filed under: uncultured bacterium
Lineage: Bacteria
Description: partial 16S ribosomal RNA
Rfam family: Bacterial small subunit ribosomal RNA
Source: RNAcentral
ACUCAAAUGAAUUGACGGGGACCCGCACAAGCAGUGGAGUAUGUGGUUUAAUUCGAAGCAACGCGAAGAACCUUACCAGGACUUGACAUAUUAGUGAAUCAUGCAGAGAUGUAUGCGUCCUUCGGGACACUAUUACAGGUGGUGCAUGGUUGUCGUCAGCUCGUGUCGUGAGAUGUUGGGUUAAGUCCCGCAACGAGCGCAACCCUUGUUGCUAGUUACCAUCAUUAAGUUGGGGACUCUAGCGAGACUGCCGGUGACAAAUCGGAGGAAGGUGGGGAUGACGUCAAAUCAUCAUGCCCUUUAUGUCCUGGGCUACACACGUACUACAAUGGGUACAACAAAGGGGAGCAAUAUAGUGAUAUGGAGCAAAUCCCAAAAAGUACUCUCAGUUCAGAUUGUAGGCUGAAACUCGCCUACAUGAAGUUGGAAUUGCUAGUAAUCGUAGGUCAGCAUACUACGGUGAAUACGUUCCCGGGUCUUGUACACACCGCCCGU